CCUACGGGGAGCAGCAGUAGGGAAUCUUUCUCAAUGGGCGAAAGCCUGAAGCAGCAACGCCGCGUGCAGGAUGAAGGUUUUCGGAUUGUAAACUCCUUUUAUUAGCGAAGAUUAUGACGGUAUCUAACGAAUAAGCACCGGCUAACUCCGUGCCAGCAGCCGCGGUAAUACGGAGGGUGCGAGCUUUACUCGGAAUCACUGGGCGUAAAGAGCGCGUAGGCGGGAUAGCAAGUCAGAUGUGAAAUCCUAUGGCUUAACCCUAGAACUGCAUUGGAAACUGUUAUUCUAGAGUAUGGGAGAGGUAGGUGGAAUUCUUGGUGUAGGGGUAAAAUCCGUAGAGAUCAAGAGGAAUACUCAUUGCGAAGGCGAGCUGCUAGAACAGAUCUGACGCUGAUGCGCGAAAGCGUGGGGAGCAAACAGGAUUAGAUACCCGGGUAGUC
RNAcentral lists this ribosomal RNA (440 nucleotides) under uncultured bacterium. RNAcentral's name for it is "partial 16S ribosomal RNA". It matches the Rfam family "Bacterial small subunit ribosomal RNA", at positions 338 to 795 of the family's 1533-position model. The record is from RNAcentral.